This 570-nucleotide ribosomal RNA is filed under the name uncultured Alternaria. Its description in RNAcentral is "eukaryotic LSU rRNA". The stretch from base 196 to 349 matches the Rfam family "5.8S ribosomal RNA". The record is from RNAcentral. Lineage: Eukaryota; Fungi; Ascomycota; Dothideomycetes; Pleosporales; Pleosporaceae.
UCCGUAGGUGAACCUGCGGAGGGAUCAUUACACAAAUAUGAAGGCGGGCUGGAACCUCUCGGGGUUACAGCCUUGCUGAAUUAUUCACCCUUGUCUUUUGCGUACUUCUUGUUUCCUUGGUGGGUUCGCCCACCACUAGGACAAACAUAAACCUUUUGUAAUUGCAAUCAGCGUCAGUAACAAAUUAAUAAUUACAACUUUCAACAACGGAUCUCUUGGUUCUGGCACCGAUGAAGAACGCAGCGAAAUGCGAUAAGUAGUGUGAAUUGCAGAAUUCAGUGAAUCAUCGAAUCUUUGAGCGCACAUUGCGCCCUUUGGUAUUCCAAAGGGCAUGCCUGUUCGAGCGUCAUUUGUACCCUCAAGCUUUGCUUGGUGUUGGGCGUCUUGUCUCUAGCUUUGCUGGAGACUCGCCUUAAAGUAAUUGGCAGCCGGCCUACUGGUUUCGGAGCGCAGCACAAGUCGCACUCUCUAUCAGCAAAGGUCUAGCAUCCAUUAAGCCUUUUUUUCAACUUUUGACCUCGGAUCAGGUAGGGAUACCCGCUGAACUUAAGCAUAUCAAUAAGCGGAGGA